UGGGGUAUAUUGCACAAUGGGCGCAAGCCUGAUGCAGCAACGCCGCGUGAACGAUGAAGGUCUUCGGAUCGUAAAGUUCUGUUGCAGGGGAAGAUAAUGACGGUACCCUGUGAGGAAGCCCCGGCUAACUACGUGCCAGCAGCCGCGGUAAUACGUAGGGGGCUAGCGUUAUCCGGAUUUACUGGGCGUAAAGGGUGCGUAGGUGGUCUUUCAAGUCGGUGGUUAAAGGCUACGGCUCAACCGUAGUUAGCCUCCGAAACUGGAAGACUUGAGUGCAGGAGAGGAAAGUGUAAUUCCCCGUGUAGCUGUGAAAUGCGUAGAUAUUGCGAGGAACACCCGUAGCGAGGGCGGCUUUCUCGACUGCAACUGACACUGAGGCACGAAAGCGUGGGUAGCAAGCAGG
This 403-nucleotide ribosomal RNA is filed under the name Verrucomicrobiota bacterium. RNAcentral describes it as "Verrucomicrobia bacterium partial 16S ribosomal RNA". It matches the Rfam family "Bacterial small subunit ribosomal RNA", at positions 355 to 776 of the family's 1533-position model. Lineage: Bacteria; Pseudomonadati; Verrucomicrobiota. The record is from RNAcentral.